UACGUAGGGGGCAAGCGUUGUCCGGAGUUACUGGGCGUAAAGCGCGCGCAGGCGGCUCACCAAGUCUGGCGUGAAAGCCCCCGGCUCAACCCGGGGAGGGUCGUCGGAGACUGGUGGGCUUGAGGGCGGUAGGGGCUGGUGGAAUUCCUGGUGUAGCGGUGAAAUGCGCAGAUAUCAGGAAGAACACCUAUGGCGAAGGCAGCUCUCUGGGACGGUACUGACGCUGAGACGCGAAAGCGUGGGGAG
This 246-nucleotide ribosomal RNA is filed under the name uncultured bacterium. RNAcentral describes it as "partial 16S ribosomal RNA". It matches the Rfam family "Bacterial small subunit ribosomal RNA", at positions 524 to 768 of the family's 1533-position model. The record is from RNAcentral.